This 465-nucleotide ribosomal RNA is filed under the name uncultured bacterium. RNAcentral's name for it is "partial 16S ribosomal RNA". It matches the Rfam family "Bacterial small subunit ribosomal RNA", at positions 338 to 795 of the family's 1533-position model. The record is from RNAcentral.
CCUACGGGUGGCAGCAGUGGGGAAUAUUGCGCAAUGGGCGAAAGCCUGACGCAGCGACGCCGCGUGAGGGAUGAAGGUCUUCGGAUUGUAAACCUCUGUCAGCAGGGAAGAACGGUUACUGUGCUAUUCAGCAGUGAAUUGACGGUACCUGCAAAGGAAGCACCGGCUAACUCCGUGCCAGCAGCCGCGGUAAUACGGAGGGUGCGAGCGUUAAUCGGAAUUACUGGGCGUAAAGCGCGCGUAGGCGGUAUGUCAAGUCAAGGGUGAAAUCCCCGCGCUCAACGUGGGAACUGCCUUUGAAACUGGCAGACUGGAGGGCGUGAGAGGAUGGUGGAAUUCCAGGUGUAGCAGUGAAAUGCGUAGAUAUCUGGAGGAACAUCGGUGGCGAAGGCGGCUAUCUGGCACAUAACUGACGCUGAGGAGCGAAAGCGUGGGUAGCAAACAGGAUUAGAUACCCUGGUAGUC